Pseudopipra pipra is the source of this 2214-nucleotide long non-coding RNA. RefSeq lists it as uncharacterized. Lineage: Eukaryota; Metazoa; Chordata; Aves; Passeriformes; Pipridae. The record is from RefSeq and is a predicted model, not a curated record. The transcript has 3 exons.
CCAGCUGCAGUGUGAGCCGAGGCUCCAGGAUCCAAGGUGCCAAAGAGCCACCACAUCCCAGGCCACGGGACCGGAGCAUUAAAUUGGAAAUACCACUUCAUCUGUAAAACAUUUGCCUCUCCCCCACGUUACGUUAUAUAUUUGUUUCAGAGAGGUAUUGAAGUAAAUAUUUACGCAAUCAAAAUGGCCACGUGCGCAAACAUACUCCCGUGUGGGGUCGUCUCGAGGAUGUUCCGACCACGUAAAUUUUGGGCUCGUUAUCUCCGAGACUACAGCACUGGCAUUGUCCGAACCUAAAUUUUUAAACGUGGCCAUCACGUGGCUGAAGUUCAAAACUUCAUCUUGAAAUUCAAGCAGAGGUUUAGUGGGGGCUGAACGACUGCCCGUGAGGCCUCAGGAGCCGCCGGCUCACCUGCCCACACAGCUCGGCCUCCGCCAAACCUUCCACCAACACCCAAAAACCAAAACAGCUCUGCAGGGGAUCCCAUCCCACUGCCACCCUCCAGCCCCAGGGGCGGUGGAGCUGUGGGGAAAGAGUGUAGUGGUGUCUGAAAUCUGGCUCUGUCACCACUGACCUUUAGCAGGAGAGAAACUUUCCCUCAGAUGAGAGAAGCUUUCCCUGAGGCGUCGAGAGAGAUGCUUUCCCUCAGAUGUCCACUGUAAUCCUCGUAGAUUCCCACGGAAGGAUGAGACAUGGAUCACUACAGGGAAAAGCAAUGCUGUAUCUGCCCAGAAAAUACAUAUCAAGAGAUCCACGUCCAUGUUCUGGGGACACAACCAAGAACACGUGCAAGACUUUUAUACCAGGGUAAAAUGCACAAGCAGCAACAGGCUUGAAAAGAAUUGAUGGGCAGAAGGAGAUCCUUGGGAGAGGUGUUUGUGCUCCCACUCUGGAGCAGGAAGCAUGGCCAGGUUGGUAGCUCACGGGGCCUCGGUGUCAGAAGGUCAGAUCACACAUUAGGAUUUGGGCUCAUCCCAAAUGUUGACACAGUAUUGAAGGGGGAAGGGAAAGGGAAAGGCAUGUGACAGUAAAGGACGUUGUAUUCAGCAGUAAAUGUUGAUUGGAAAUAUCCAUCAUUGGACCUGGGAGAGGAAAGGCCUCUAUAGAAUCAACACAAAGGUUCUUCUUCUUCUGUUCCUAAAUAUUGAAUUAGGCUGGUAACAAGCACCAGAUCUGGUGAAGAAGGCUCUACUUACUAACACUAAACAUCCUUUAAUAAUAAUUUAAUUUUAAUUAAAUGUGAUUGAAUAUAUAUUCCCAUCUGACAAAAAGAGAAUCCCAUCAUGCAUUAGGCUAAUAUUUAGUGAGUGCCCCUUGGCUCAGCAUGCUGGCCUGAAAAAUACUGUGCUGUGACAGUUCAGGUAAAGCCAGAGGAUCAUUGUGGAAUGCUUAGAUAUCCUAAACCUGCAUUUCAUCUUCUCUUUUUAUUACAUCUCAACCUGGCCUGGUUGACCCUUUCCCAGCUUUUAACCUUUCAGGUCUGAUCUGCAGCUGCUGGAUGCAACAGGAAAUGAACAGUAACAACUGGCAAAAGCAACACUUCUGUGAGUGUGCAGCACAGCCUCAGUUUGCCUGCUACUGCUGGCCUUUUCCAAACACAGUCAUCAUGUUUUCACUCAAUAAUGUAAUCAUUGUGAUACUAACCUUCACUAGCAAAAAUUCAGAAAGUCUGCUUUCAUUUAAUUUGAAUUUCCCAGAUUUCUCACCAAUUCCCUACCAAUAAUUUUAGUUAAAAUAAUAAACUAAAGCAAUAAUGCAGCCCACAAGAAGCAUCUUGCCAGAAAUGUGUAUGCACCUGUUUCUAAUACAGAUCUUGAUUAUAGGUUUUUCAUACACUUGUGCAUCUCGUAUCUCAGUUCAAGUCCAUCUGUUAAAUAACAGCAUUUGGAAAGAAAAUAGUGCUGCCUUCUCAGAAGGAUUCACACUGUAAUCUCCUGGAUUUAUUAAUAUUAAAAUUCUUACAAUAAUUCAGCUUGGAAGGGACAUAUGGGAUCAUCUCAUGACCUGGUACAACUCACAGCCCAGUGCAGCACCAAAUUUGAAGUUGGCUUUAAUUUCAAGGUCAGAUAAAUUGCCCAGGGCCUUGUGUCCCCCUUAGCCUUGAGUAUCCCCAAAACUGGAGACUUCACAGUCUCUCAAAGCAACUUGGUUCAUUACUGAUAAUGAUCACUUUGGAAAAAACUUCCCUUAUAUUGGCAUAAAAUAUUCUGAAA